This 396-nucleotide ribosomal RNA is filed under the name uncultured bacterium. Its description in RNAcentral is "partial 16S ribosomal RNA". It matches the Rfam family "Bacterial small subunit ribosomal RNA", at positions 523 to 918 of the family's 1533-position model. The record is from RNAcentral.
AUACGUAGGGGGCGAGCGUUGUCCGGAAUGAUUGGGCGUAAAGGGCGCGUAGGCGCCCGGUAAGUCUGGAGUGAAAGUCCUGUUUUUAAGAUGGGAAUUGCUUUGGAUACUGUCGGGCUUGAGUGCAGGAGAGGUAAGUGGAAUUCCCAGUGUAGCGGUGAAAUGCGUAGAGAUUGGGAGGAACACCAGUGGCGAAGGCGACUUACUGGACUGUAACUGACGCUGAGGCGCGAAAGUGUGGGGAGCAAACAGGAUUAGAUACCCUGGUAGUCCACACUGUAAACGAUGAAUGCUAGGUGUAAGAGGUAUCGACCCCUUUUGUGCCGGAGUCAACACAAUAAGCAUUCCGCCUGGGGAGUACGGCCGCAAGGUUGAAACUCAAAUGAAUUGACGGGG